This 265-nucleotide ribosomal RNA is filed under the name uncultured bacterium. RNAcentral's name for it is "partial 16S ribosomal RNA". It matches the Rfam family "Bacterial small subunit ribosomal RNA", at positions 332 to 590 of the family's 1533-position model. The record is from RNAcentral.
GUUAGCCUACGGGGCGCAGCAGUAGGGAAUCUUCCACAAUGGACGAAAGUCUGAUGGAGCAACGCCGCGUGAGUGAAGAAGGGUUUCGGCUCGUAAAGCUCUGUUGGUAGUGAAGAAAGAUAGAGGUAGUAACUGGCCCUUAUUUGACGGUAAUUACUUAGAAAGUCACGGCUAACUACGUGCCAGCAGCCGCGGGAAUACGUAGGUGGCAAGCGUUGUCCGGAUUUAUUGGGCGUAAAGCGAGUGCCGGCGGGUCAAUCAGGCU